GUAGGUGGCAAGCGUUGUCCGGAAUUAUUGGGCGUAAAGCGCGCGCAGGUGGGUUCUUUAAGUCUGAUGUGAAAGACCCCCGGGCUCAACCCGGGGAGGGUCAUUGGAAACUGGGGAACUUGAGUGCAGGAGAGGAAAGUGGAAUUCCACGUGUAGCGGUGAAAUGCGUAGAUAUGUGGAGGAACACCAGUGGCGAAGGCGACUUUCUGGCCUGUAACUGACACUGAGGCGCGAAAGCGUGGGGAGCAAACAGGAUUAGAUACCCUGGUAGUCCACGCCGUAAACGAUGAGUGCUAAGUGUUGGGGGGUUUCCGCCCCUCAGUGCUGCAGCUAACGCAUUAAGCACUCCGCCUGGGGAGUACGGUCGCAAAGACUG
Molecule: ribosomal RNA, 376 nt
Filed under: uncultured organism
Description: partial 16S ribosomal RNA
Rfam family: Bacterial small subunit ribosomal RNA
Source: RNAcentral